UGGGGAAUAUUGGACAAUGGGCGAAAGCCUGAUCCAGCCAUGCCGCGUGUGUGAAGAAGGUCUUCGGAUUGUAAAGCACUUUAAGUUGGGAGGAAGGGCAUUAACCUAAUACGUUAGUGUUUUGACGUUACCGACAGAAUAAGCACCGGCUAACUCUGUGCCAGCAGCCGCGGUAAUACAGAGGGUGCAAGCGUUAAUCGGAAUUACUGGGCGUAAAGCGCGCGUAGGUGGUUUGUUAAGUUGGAUGUGAAAUCCCCGGGCUCAACCUGGGAGCUUCAUUCAAAACUGAGUGACUAGAGUAUGGUAGAGGGUGGUGGAAUUUCCUGUGUAGCGGUGAAAUGCGUAGAUAUAGGAAGGAACAACAGUGGCGAAGGCGACCACCUGGACUAAUACUGACACUGAGGUGCGAAAGCGUGGGGAGCAAACA
RNAcentral lists this ribosomal RNA (427 nucleotides) under uncultured bacterium. Its description in RNAcentral is "partial 16S ribosomal RNA". It matches the Rfam family "Bacterial small subunit ribosomal RNA", at positions 355 to 774 of the family's 1533-position model. The record is from RNAcentral.